This 304-nucleotide ribosomal RNA is filed under the name uncultured eukaryote. RNAcentral's name for it is "partial 18S ribosomal RNA". It matches the Rfam family "Eukaryotic small subunit ribosomal RNA", at positions 1470 to 1796 of the family's 1831-position model. The record is from RNAcentral.
CCCUUAGAUGUUCUGGGCCGCACGCGUGCUACACUGAGUGGAUCAGCGGGUCAGGUUGCGCGAAAGUGUUUCCUAAUCUUUAAAUCCGCUCGUGAUGGGGAUUGACGGUUGCAAUUUUCCGUCAUGAACGAGGAAUACCUUGUAAGCGCGGGUCAUCAUCCCGCGCUGAAUACGUCCCUGCCCUUUGUACACACCGCCCGUCGCUCCUACCGAUUGGAUGGUCCGGUGAACUUUUUGGACUUGUAGCAAUGUUAUGAGAAAGUUAAGUAAACCUUAUCAUUUAGAGGAAGGAAAAGUCGUAACA